GAAGAAGAAGAAGAAGAAGAAGAAGAAGAACCAACUGAAAAGGCUAAACUUGAGAGUGAGGAAUCCCUGGUUGAGCACUUAAAAACCCUCGAGAAAGGAACAAUCUAUCAAAAUCCAACAAAAGACGACAUUCAGUCACUUCUUCAGUCUGAGAAAUGUGAAGCUGAGAAGAAAACUGACUAAACAGACAAAUUUUUAUUGAAAUCGUAAUAUUAAACAAGAUGAAAACUCUGUAUCAAAA
Long non-coding RNA from Eurytemora carolleeae, 241 nucleotides. RefSeq lists it as uncharacterized. NCBI's taxonomy places the organism in Eukaryota, Metazoa, Arthropoda, Copepoda, Calanoida, Temoridae. The record is from RefSeq and is a predicted model, not a curated record. The transcript has 2 exons.